Molecule: ribosomal RNA, 449 nt
Filed under: uncultured organism
Description: partial 16S ribosomal RNA
Rfam family: Bacterial small subunit ribosomal RNA
Source: RNAcentral
ACACUCCUGCGGGAGGCAGCAGUGGUGAAUAUUGGACAAUGGGCGCAAGCCUGAUCCAGCCAUGCCGCGUGAGUGAUGAAGGCCCUAGGGUUGUAAAGCUCUUUCACCGGUGAAGAUAAUGACGGUAACCGGAGAAGAAGCCCCGGCUAACUUCGUGCCAGCAGCCGCGGUAAUACGAAGGGGGCUAGCGUUGUUCGGAUUUACUGGGCGUAAAGCGCACGUAGGCGGACUAUUAAGUCAGGGGUGAAAUCCCGGGGCUCAACCCCGGAACUGCCUUUGAUACUGGUAGUCUUGAGUUCGAGAGAGGUGAGUGGAAUUCCGAGUGUAGAGGUGAAAUUCGUAGAUAUUCGGAGGAACACCAGUGGCGAAGGCGGCUCACUGGCUCGAUACUGACGCUGAGGUGCGAAAGCGUGGGGAGCAAACAGGAUUAGAAACCCUUGUAGUCCCAU